UAAGUUAAUAAGGGCGCACGGUGGAUGCCUUGGCACUAGGAGCCGACGAAGGACGUGACAAACGACGAUAUGCCUUGGGUAGCUGUAAGUAAGCGAUGAUCCAGGGAUUUCCGAAUGGGGGAACCCAACAGGUAAUACCUGUUACCUACAUCUGUUAAGGAUGUGAGGAGGAAGACGCAGUGAACUGAAACAUCUAAGUAGCUGCAGGAAGAGAAAGCAAAAGCGAUUGCCUUAGUAGCGGCGAGCGAAACGGCAGAAGGGCAAACCGAAGAGUUUACUCUUCGGGGUUGUAGGACUGCAAUGUGGACUCAAAGAUUAUAGAAGAAUGAUUUGGGAAGAUCAGCCAAAGAGAGUAAUAGCCUCGUAUUUAAAAAUAGUCUUUGUACUUAGCAGUAUCCUGAGUACGGCGGGACACGUGAAAUCCCGUCGGAGUCUGGGGGGACCAUCUCCCAACCCUAAAUACUCCCUAGUGACCGAUAGUGAACCAGUACCGUGAGGGAAAGGUGAAAAGCACCCCGGGAGGGGAGUGAAAUAGAACCUGAAACCGUGUGCCUACAACAAGUUCGAGCCCGUUAAUGGGUGAGAGCGUGCCUUUUGUAGAAUGAACCGGCGAGUUACGUUAUGAUGCGAGGUUAAGUUGAAGAGACGGAGCCGUAGGGAAACCGAGUCUGAAUGGGGCGCCUUAGUAUCAUGACGUAGACCCGAAACCAUGUGACCUACCCAUGAGCAGGUUGAAGGUGCGGUAAGACGCACUGGAGGACCGAACCAGGGCACGUUGAAAAGUGCUUGGAUGACUUGUGGGUAGCGGAGAAAUUCCAAACGAACUUGGAGAUAGCUGGUUCUCUCCGAAAUAGCUUUAGGGCUAGCGUCGACAUUAGAGAUUCUUGGAGGUAGAGCACUGUUUGGGUGAGGGGUCCAUCCCGGAUUACCAAUCUCAGAUAAACUCCGAAUGCCAAUGAAUUAUGGUCGGCAGUCAGACUGCGAGUGCUAAGAUCCGUAGUCGAAAGGGAAACAGCCCAGACCACCAGCUAAGGUCCCAAAAUAAUUGUUAAGUGGAAAAGGAUGUGGGGUUGCACAGACAACUAGGAUGUUAGCUUAGAAGCAGCUAUUCAUUCAAAGAGUGCGUAAUAGCUCACUAGUCGAGUGACCCUGCGCCGAAAAUGUACCGGGGCUAAAACAAUUUACCGAAGCUGUGGAUACCUUUAUAGGUAUGGUAGGAGAGCGUUCUAUGUGUGAUGAAGGUAUACCGUGAGGAGUGCUGGAACGCAUAGAAGUGAGAAUGCCGGUAUGAGUAGCGAAAGACAGGUGAGAAUCCUGUCCACCGUAAGACUAAGGUUUCCAGGGGAAGGCUCGUCCGCCCUGGGUUAGUCGGGACCUAAGGAGAGACCGAAAGGUGUAUCCGAUGGACAACAGGUUGAUAUUCCUGUACUAGAGUAUGUAGUGAUGGAGGGACGCAGUAGGCUAACUAAAGCAGACGAUUGGAAGAGUCUGUCUAAGCAGUGAGGUGUGAAUUGAGUCAAAUGCUUAAUUCUAUAACAUUGAGCUGUGAUGGGGAGCGAAGUUUAGUAGCGAAGUUAGUGACGUCACACUGCCAAGAAAAGCUUCUAGCGUUUAAACAUACUCUACCCGUACCGCAAACCGACACAGGUAGUCGAGGCGAGUAGCCUCAGGUGAGCGAGAGAACUCUCGUUAAGGAACUCGGCAAAAUGACCCCGUAACUUCGGGAGAAGGGGUGCUGACUUAAAGUCAGCCGCAGUGAAUAGGCCCAAGCAACUGUUUAUCAAAAACACAGCUCUCUGCUAAAUCGUAAGAUGAUGUAUAGGGGGUGACGCCUGCCCGGUGCUGGAAGGUUAAGAGGAGUGCUUAGCGUAAGCGAAGGUAUGAAUUGAAGCCCCAGUAAACGGCGGCCGUAACUAUAACGGUCCUAAGGUAGCGAAAUUCCUUGUCGGGUAAGUUCCGACCCGCACGAAAGGCGUAAUGAUUUGGGCACUGUCUCAACGAGAGACUCGGUGAAAUUUUAGUACCUGUGAAGAUGCAGGUUACCCGCGACAGGACGGAAAGACCCCAUGGAGCUUUACUGCAGUUUGAUAUUGAGUGUCUGUACCACAUGUACAGGAUAGGUAGGAGUCUAAGAGAUCGGGACGCCAGUUUCGAAGGAGACGCUGUUGGGAUACUACCCUUGUGUUAUGGCCACUCUAACCCAGAUAGGUGAUCCCUAUCGGAGACAGUGUCUGACGGGCAGUUUGACUGGGGCGGUCGCCUCCUAAAAGGUAACGGAGGCGCCCAAAGGUUCCCUCAGAAUGGUUGGAAAUCAUUCGCAGAGUGUAAAGGUAUAAGGGAGCUUGACUGCGAGAGCUACAACUCGAGCAGGGACGAAAGUCGGGCUUAGUGAUCCGGUGGUUCCGUAUGGAAGGGCCAUCGCUCAACGGAUAAAAGCUACCCUGGGGAUAACAGGCUUAUCUCCCCCAAGAGUUCACAUCGACGGGGAGGUUUGGCACCUCGAUGUCGGCUCGUCGCAUCCUGGGGCUGUAGUCGGUCCCAAGGGUUGGGCUGUUCGCCCAUUAAAGCGGCACGCGAGCUGGGUUCAGAACGUCGUGAGACAGUUCGGUCCCUAUCCGUCGCGGGCGUAGGAAAUUUGAGAGGAUCUGCUCCUAGUACGAGAGGACCAGAGUGGACUUACCGCUGGUGUACCAGUUGUCUUGCCAAAGGCAUCGCUGGGUAGCUAUGUAGGGAAGGGAUAAACGCUGAAAGCAUCUAAGUGUGAAACCCACCUCAAGAUGAGAUUUCCCAUGAUUAUAUAUCAGUAAGAGCCCUGAGAGAUGAUCAGGUAGAUAGGUUAGAAGUGGAAGUGUGGCGACACAUGUAGCGGACUAAUACUAAUAGCUCGAGGACUUAUCCA
Molecule: ribosomal RNA, 2899 nt
Filed under: Streptococcus pneumoniae GA41277
Lineage: Bacteria; Bacillati; Bacillota; Bacilli; Lactobacillales; Streptococcaceae
Description: bacterial LSU rRNA
Rfam family: Bacterial large subunit ribosomal RNA
Source: RNAcentral